RNAcentral lists this ribosomal RNA (429 nucleotides) under Gemmatimonadota bacterium. Its description in RNAcentral is "Gemmatimonadetes bacterium partial 16S ribosomal RNA". It matches the Rfam family "Bacterial small subunit ribosomal RNA", at positions 355 to 776 of the family's 1533-position model. The record is from RNAcentral. Lineage: Bacteria; Pseudomonadati; Gemmatimonadota.
UAGGGAAUCUUCGGCAAUGGACGAAAGUCUGACCGAGCAACGCCGCGUGAGUGAAGAAGGUUUUCGGAUCGUAAAACUCUGUUGUUAGAGAAGAACAAGGACGUUAGUAACUGAACGUCCCCUGACGGUAUCUAACCAGAAAGCCACGGCUAACUACGUGCCAGCAGCCGCGGUAAUACGUAGGUGGCAAGCGUUGUCCGGAUUUAUUGGGCGUAAAGCGAGCGCAGGCGGUUUCUUAAGUCUGAUGUGAAAGCCCCCGGCUCAACCGGGGAGGGUCAUUGGAAACUGGGAGACUUGAGUGCAGAAGAGGAGAGUGGAAUUCCAUGUGUAGCGGUUAAAUGCGUAGAUAUAUGGCGGAACACCAGUGGCGAAGUCGGCUCUCUGGUCUGUAACUGACGCUGAGGCUCGAAAGCGUGGGGAGCAAACAGG